GCAAGUCGAACGCAGUAGCAAUACUGAGUGGCAAACGGGUGAGUAUAAUGUGGGUAUCUGCCUUUUGGUUUGGAACAACAUGAGGAAACUUGUGCUAAUACCGGAUAAGCCUUCACAGGGAAAGUUUUAUACGCCGAAAGAUGAGCCCGCACUUGAUUAGUUUGUUGGUGAGGUAAUGGCUCACCAAGACAAUUAUCAAUAGCUGGUCUGAGAGGACGAUCAGCCACAUUGGGACUGAGACACGGCCCAGACUCCUACGGGAGGCAGCAGUAAGGAAUCUUGCACAAUGGGGGAAACCCUGAUGCAGCGAUGCCGCGUGAGUGAAGAAGGCCCUUGGGUUGUAAAACUCUUUCGUCGGGGAAGAAAAUGACUGUACCCGAAUAAGAAGGUCCGGCUAACUUCGUGCCAGCAGCCGCGGUAAUACGAAGGGACCUAGCGUAGUUCGGAAUUACUGGGCUUAAAGAGCUCGUAGGUGGUUAAAAAAGUUGAUGGUGAAAUCCCAAGGCUCAACCUUGGAACUGCCAUCAAAACUUUUUAGCUAGAGUGUGAUAGAGGAAAGUGGAAUUUCUAGUGUAGAGGCGAAAUUCGUAGAUAUUAGAAAGAACACCAAAUGCGAAGGCAACUUUCUGGGUCACUACUGACACUGAGGAGCGAAAGCAUGGGUAGCGAAGAGGAUUAGAUACCCUCGUAGUCCAUGCCGUAGACGAUGUGUGCUAGACGUUGGAAAUAUAUUUUUCAGUGUCGCAGCGAAAGCAUUAAGCACACCGCCUGGGGAGUA
This 778-nucleotide ribosomal RNA is filed under the name uncultured marine bacterium. RNAcentral's name for it is "bacterial SSU rRNA". It matches the Rfam family "Bacterial small subunit ribosomal RNA", at positions 57 to 882 of the family's 1533-position model. The record is from RNAcentral.